GUUGGAAGAGACGAAGACAGGGUAAUGGCUUAAACACACGAAUUGUAUUUAGGAAGACGUGCCGGCCAAACUAUUGCAAGUUUGACUGUUCAGCAUAAUGUUAGAACAACAAACUCUUCACCUAUGCACGGUCAUCAGCCCCCGCCUGGCCUGUCAUUUGUGUCACAAGGAAGUACCACACCUGGUCAUGUGUCAGGAAUUGGAGAGAUAACAGCUUACUUAGAAGUAAAUUGAAGGCAGCCAACAAUUGGACGGUGGUGCCAAUCAAUGAAAAGAAGGGAUACACGUACAUGCACUGAGUACACAGAGAUCAUCAAGGAAAAAACCCUUCAAUCAAAGUUCCUUUUUGAUUCAGCUUAUCCAAAGCUGAUUGCCUCUACAAUUGCCCCUUAUAUAUCCACCUGCGGCUAAUGAGGAGCUGCAAUAUCCAAUAGGUCAAGGGCAAGCAACCCGGAAACAAUAUGAAGAUUUACUCAUACAAAUUGAUACAUGGUGUAUGUAACUAUGUUGUUUUAACUAACUUCAACAUACCAUUAUUAUGAAUUAAAAAAUUGACAAAGCUGAAAUCAAUGAUAAAUGAUUAUGGGUAGGAACAUGUUGUGUGAAUUUGGCAGCAUGGUUUUCUAGGAUGUAUACCAUUGAGUAUAAAAGUGCAUGUGUAACCCUUGCUGUUUUUUCAGUCAGAAGAUGACUUUAGUAUUUGAAAUGAUGCUUGAAUUUAUUUGUGUAAUAUGAAGGCGUGACCAAAUGUGUGACAUUAUGGUCGACUGUCCUGUGAUCAUCAUGGUGAUAAAAUGUGAUUUUAAUAAAUGAACUGCUUAUAAACAUAGGGCAGAAAUAUCAUUGAUAAAAUACUGAUGAACAUAGCAUACAAGUGCCCUGAAAUGCCAUGAGAAUAUGUAUUUGAGUUUAAAGUGUGUACAGUAUUGUGAAUUUUGUUAAUUGUUUUGUUAUAAAAAUAUAGGAUCCAAAGUAUUCAAUCAUAGAUUACUCUGAAAAAGAAGAAUAAGUAAAAAACUUGUCUGGCAAAUAACUACAUAAACAAUG
Long non-coding RNA from Dreissena polymorpha, 1047 nucleotides. RefSeq lists it as uncharacterized. Lineage: Eukaryota; Metazoa; Mollusca; Bivalvia; Myida; Dreissenidae. The transcript has 3 exons. The record is from RefSeq and is a predicted model, not a curated record.